Molecule: unclassified non-coding RNA, 255 nt
Filed under: plant metagenome
Description: partial contains small subunit ribosomal RNA, internal transcribed spacer 1, and 5.8S ribosomal RNA
Rfam family: Eukaryotic small subunit ribosomal RNA (bases 1-54)
Source: RNAcentral
GGAAGUAAAAGUCGUAACGAGGUUUCCGUAGGUGAACCUGCGGAAGGAUCAUUAUUGGAUUUUGAAACUUCAGGCUGCUGCUGGCUCUCCUCGGAGGGCAUGUGCACGCUUGUUGUCCAUUAUUUCUCCCACUGUGCACAAAUUGUAGACCUUUCAGUAGGCCUAUGUUGUUUUUCACAAUCUCUGAAUGUAAUAGAAUGGUUUUGAAUCUUGGGAAAUACAAUACAACUUUCAGCAACGGAUCUCUUGGCUCUC